GUCCACGCCGUAAACGUUGGGAACUAGGUGUGGGCCUCAUUCCACGAGGUCUGUGCCGCAGCUAACGCAUUAAGUUCCCCGCCUGGGGAGUACGGCCGCAAGGCUAAAACUCAAAGGAAUUGACGGGGGCCCGCACAAGCGGCGGAGCAUGUGGAUUAAUUCGAUGCAACGCGAAGAACCUUACCAAGGCUUGACAUAUACCGGAAACACCCAGAGAUGGGUGCCCCGCAAGGUCGGUAUACAGGUGGUGCAUGGUUGUCGU
RNAcentral lists this ribosomal RNA (262 nucleotides) under uncultured bacterium. RNAcentral describes it as "partial 16S ribosomal RNA". It matches the Rfam family "Bacterial small subunit ribosomal RNA", at positions 793 to 1055 of the family's 1533-position model. The record is from RNAcentral.